UGCAUUCACUACUGUAAGUCGCUCUUGAUAAGAGCGUCUGCUAAAUGACAAACG
Molecule: non-coding RNA, 54 nt
Organism: Salmo salar (Atlantic salmon)
Lineage: Eukaryota; Metazoa; Chordata; Actinopteri; Salmoniformes; Salmonidae
Source: Rfam